GGGGCGAAUGGCUCGGAUGGCUGGAUUUACCUCCACGCUCGCAUACAUGAGGUAUUAUCUGCUUUGGCUCUAAUUGUCUUUGGACUUCAAUGGGCCUUGGCCAUUUAGAGCCUCAUGAUUUUAUCUUUUAAAAGGUGCCUCACAUGGGAGAGAAAAUUUUAAUUCAUACAAAACUAUACUUCCUUUUGACUCAUAACCACUA
Molecule: long non-coding RNA, 202 nt
Filed under: Elaeis guineensis (African oil palm)
Lineage: Eukaryota; Viridiplantae; Streptophyta; Magnoliopsida; Arecales; Arecaceae
Description: long non-coding RNA (EGUI_LNC040498)
Source: RNAcentral